AGUCGAGCGGAAACGAUGGGAGCUUGCUCCCAGGCGUCGAGCGGCGGACGGGUGAGUAAUGCAUAGGAAUCUGCCCGAUAGUGGGGGAUAACCUGGGGAAACCCAGGCUAAUACCGCAUACGUCCUACGGGAGAAAGCAGGGGCUCUUCGGACCUUGCGCUAUCGGAUGAGCCUAUGUCGGAUUAGCUGGUUGGUGAGGUAAUGGCUCACCAAGGCGACGAUCCGUAGCUGGUCUGAGAGGAUGAUCAGCCACAUCGGGACUGAGACACGGCCCGAACUCCUACGGGAGGCAGCAGUGGGGAAUAUUGGACAAUGGGCGAAAGCCUGAUCCAGCCAUGCCGCGUGUGUGAAGAAGGCCCUCGGGUUGUAAAGCACUUUCAGUGGGGAAGAAAGCCUUGGGGCUAAUACCCUCGAGGAAGGACAUCACCCACAGAAGAAGCACCGGCUAACUCCGUGCCAGCAGCCGCGGUAAUACGGAGGGUGCGAGCGUUAAUCGGAAUUACUGGGCGUAAAGCGCGCGUAGGUGGCUUGAUAAGCCGGUUGUGAAAGCCCCGGGCUCAACCUGGGAACGGCAUCCGGAACUGUCAGGCUAGAGUGCAGGAGAGGAAGGUAGAAUUCCCGGUGUAGCGGUGAAAUGCGUAGAGAUCGGGAGGAAUACCAGUGGCGAAGGCGGCCUUCUGGACUGACACUGACACUGAGGUGCGAAAGCGUGGGUAGCAAACAGGAUUAGAUACCCUGGUAGUCCACGCCGUAAACGAUGUCGACUAGCCGUUGGGAGCCUCGAGUUCUUAGUGGCGCAGUUAACGCGAUAAGUCGACCGCCUGGGGAGUACGGCCGCAAGGUUAAAACUCAAAUGAAUUGACGGGGGCCCGCACAAGCGGUGGAGCAUGUGGUUUAAUUCGAUGCAACGCGAAGAACCUUACCUACCCUUGACAUCGUGCGAACUUGGUAGAGAUACCUUGGUGCCUUCGGGAACGCACAGACAGGUGCUGCAUGGCUGUCGUCAGCUCGUGUUGUGAAAUGUUGGGUUAAGUCCCGUAACGAGCGCAACCCUUGUCCCUAUUUGCCAGCGAUUCGGUCGGGAACUCUAGGGAGACUGCCGGUGACAAACCGGAGGAAGGUGGGGACGACGUCAAGUCAUCAUGGCCCUUACGGGUAGGGCUACACACGUGCUACAAUGGUCGGUACAAAGGGUUGCAAAGCGGCGACGUGGAGCUAAUCCCAGAAAGCUGAUCUCAGUCCGGAUCGGAGUCUGCAACUCGACUCCGUGAAGUCGGAAUCGCUAGUAAUCGUGAAUCAGAAUGUCACGGUGAAUACGUUCCCGGGCCUUGUACACACCGCCCGUCACACCAUGGGAGUGGACUGCACCAGAAGUGGUUAGCCUAACUUCGGAGGGCGAUCACCACGGUGUG
Molecule: ribosomal RNA, 1412 nt
Filed under: Halomonas sp. ljh-19
Lineage: Bacteria; Pseudomonadati; Pseudomonadota; Gammaproteobacteria; Oceanospirillales; Halomonadaceae
Description: 16S ribosomal RNA
Rfam family: Bacterial small subunit ribosomal RNA
Source: RNAcentral